Dalotia coriaria is the source of this 513-nucleotide long non-coding RNA. RefSeq lists it as uncharacterized. NCBI's taxonomy places the organism in Eukaryota, Metazoa, Arthropoda, Insecta, Coleoptera, Staphylinidae. The transcript is spliced from 3 exons. The record is from RefSeq and is a predicted model, not a curated record.
CAUUUAUGAUUGGCUGCGGCAUAUCACUUGCUUUCUUAGAAUCGAUUGUUUGCGUGAUAUUUGUUUGGCAUAGCCAUUAUUUAUAUUUAUCAGUCGGGUUUGGUGUUUUGCUAAUGAUUUAUCGUGUGUCGAAUUUUCGUAAAUGCUAAAUUAUUGUGUUACGAAUGUUUCCGCGUGUGAUCUUGUGUGAGUUGCCGUCGGACGCUAACCGUCGAUAUUCUCUUAGAUUGUCAAAGAUAUUGUUAUAAAUUCGUGCACACUUAUUUCUGGAUCGCGAAAACUACUUUUGUCUUCUGCAAAAACGUUAAUAUGCUACCAGUAUCUUAAUGCCUUAGAUUUGCGGUGUUUGAUACCAUGUAUUUGCCAUGCCUUGAAAUCCAUGAGUUUUGCAUUGGUAAGUUUAUAAUUCAAUUAUAUUUUUCGUUUUAAUUUCAGCGUCCUCCAUUAGUUUGUAUUUACGUUGUUGUGCUUUAUCGCGUUCCAUCGCGUGUUGCAAAUACUUAAGAUAGUCGC